AUGUCAUUUAUGUCAUAAAUAAUGAAUAGUAGCUACAACUUCCUUCGUCCUUAUUAUGUUCUAAACUCUAUGUUAAGGCAAGUAAUUUACAAAAUCUCUGUUGCGGGGAGAGGUACUUUUAUCACUUCCAUCUCACAGAUGAGAAAUCUGAGACUUAGAAAGACUAAGGGAUUGGCCUGACAUCACAAUGCCAGGUGAAUGGCAUCUGACUCCACAGUCCAGGCUGUUAACCCACCACGUGAUCCUACCUCCUUGGCAGUGAAGGAUAAUCAGAGUAUUUACGAAUCAGAGUUUUACUUAUGCUCCCAUCACAGAGAAAAAUCAUCAGUUAAUAUAAGGAAGAGUUCAUGCCUUGAUUAAAGUUGGCAGGUAAAAUGCAUUUAUUUUAGAACUCAUUCCUUAAGGUUCAAGACAGCAAGAGCGAAACUGAAAAAUAAAUCUGUGCUAAAUAUGUUUAUAGAAAAACACCCUCCCUAGCUAACAUGGGUACCAUCUCAUCUCAGCGUGAUGGUCAGAUUAUCGCCUAACUUCAAAGUGUUACCAAAAUGAGAGAGUAUCAGCUCACGGAGGAGGAGAAGAUGGAGUUUGGCCAGGAAGUAGACAGGCAGGGAGGGGUGUGAAGAUGGGGAGGCAGUCUCUGCAGCAGCUUGUGGGUGACUAUUUACAUAAAGCAUGAGCUUCAAUUUGCUAGGGAUUCAUUGCUCAAGCUAGCGAUUGUGCAGUGAGUUCCCUUGUUCACUCUCCCAGAUGUGAGGGUUGUUUUGUAGUCACAUAUAAUGGAAUCAGCACUGGCUAACAGGCUGGAAACCAACCUGUCAUCUCAGUCUCUCCAAUCACCAGCUGUGGGACCCUGGACAAGUCAUUUAACCUCAAUGGACCUCAAUUUUCUCAUCUGGAAAAAUAAGACAAGUGGCAUAGACUAUCCCUUCCAGAAAUUCUGUGAAUCAAGGAGAAUCUACAGCUGUUGCCAUUCACUAAGUUCAAAUUCCUGUGACCCCCGGGAGAGAAGGCUGCGGGCAGAUUAUUAGAGCAUUUGAGUGUGUGGGUUUGCCUGGAAGCGACAGCUAGCAAAGGUUGAAGAUGAGAAUAAUAAUAAUAAAGCACGCUUGGCUUGUAGAGCUCUGAGCAGAACAGCAUUACUCUCAACCAGAUUUUAUUUCUUGCUAAUUUUAUCUGAUUCCACUUGAUUAUAGAGUUCAUUGAAUUUAAAAUGUUGGGGCUGGGGGUCACUGCUCCAUGCUACCCUUCAGAAACGUCAACAAAAAGAGCACCCCAGAAACCCUUGACUGCCACCCGUGCAAAUACAUUACCCUUCAUCGUGACAGAUUUGCUCCAGUAAUUACAAUCACCUUUUCUUCAGUCUAUGUCUGGGAGCAUUUCUAGAACACUUAAUGCCAUACUACCCAAGGAAAAGCCCUUUCUGGUGUAAUGGAGGCAAUGUAAAAUAUGUGCUUUCAUGUCAAGUAAAAAUUUAUGACAUUCACACAAAGAGGGGUAUUUGUUUCCUAUGUGUCUGCAUCUCUGCUUUCUGUUGUUAUUGAUGAACGGGAAAAG
Equus asinus (donkey) is the source of this 1554-nucleotide long non-coding RNA. The record is from Ensembl. NCBI's taxonomy places the organism in Eukaryota, Metazoa, Chordata, Mammalia, Perissodactyla, Equidae.